This is a long non-coding RNA of Zootermopsis nevadensis, 521 nucleotides long. RefSeq lists it as uncharacterized. Lineage: Eukaryota; Metazoa; Arthropoda; Insecta; Blattodea; Termopsidae. The record is from RefSeq and is a predicted model, not a curated record.
CUAUCAAUGAAGCAGUGAAUCAGGAGAGACUUGGGUGAGAAAUGGCGGCUGAAUUAUGCUUACGGAACAUCUCGUAUCAUGCUCGUAAGGUUCUUUUACAUGCCGUGAAUCUACGACAUGGGACCGCUGAUUUUACUUCCCCUCCGAAGAAAGUUGUGCUAUGGAUUUUUAUCAUCCUUAAAAAUCCAUCACCUCUACCGGGAUUGAAACAUAAAAACCUUGGGUCCAGUGGCGAGCAGGCUAAUCCACCAAGAGUGACAUAUGCUAAGUGCUCAACCAUUCAGUGAUGUUUGAGGGGUUGAAAAGGUUUGUUCCAAUGGACAAGGCAGUGGAGAGAGAGAGAUGCUUCAGCUGCUUAUUCUUUUUAAAAAAUUAACAUGCACAUCAAUUCCACUAUAUUGCACUGUGCGGCAAUUUUGUGAAAAUGAUAGGUAACACUUGUGUAUCCUAAGGAAGUUGGCUUAAAAUUGUAAGAAAAUUUUACUGACAAUAAAAUCAAAGCUCGAGUUAACUGAAAAAUU